This 2005-nucleotide long non-coding RNA is filed under the name Equus asinus (donkey). Its description in RNAcentral is "lncRNA (ENSEASG00005031643.1)". Lineage: Eukaryota; Metazoa; Chordata; Mammalia; Perissodactyla; Equidae. The record is from RNAcentral.
CUCGGAGCACCGCGAGCGCACGGCGCAGCGGCCGGCCCGCGCCCUUAACCCUUCGCUGAGCGCCGCCGGGCUGGGCGGCCCCGGGGGGGCGGGCGCGCUUCCCAAAGACUCGCUUGCGAUCGGGGUGGGGCGGGGGGCGGAGGGCGGGAGGGGAGACCCGGGCCGCAGGGGACAGUUCUUCCAGGUUUGGGAAAGGGGCGGGGAGCUGAGGCGAUGAGGUAAUUUUAGCGGUGACCAGUCGGUCCUCGCGCGCCUCCCCAGGUCCCUGCACCUAGUUGGAGGGGACAGAGCGACAGCAGGGUGCAACUCAGGCACCUUGGAGGACUCUCCGAGGGGUGUCGGGCUUCAACUCCGAGCCCAUGAAAUACCCCAGGGGAAGGGGAGGUGGGCCAGAUCUGAUCCUGACAUACCCUUCGCCCUCGGCGCACCGAGAAGCGUUUAAGAGGGAUGACUCCGAUCGUCAUGCACGUUAACCCUCAAACCGGUUUAGCCUGGGCAUUCCGGAACCCAGACCACAGGGCCGCGGGGAUUGCCUUUGCGUGCAACUCAGGAAAGUCCGGAAAUCUGCGUUGAGUCUGGAACUACCCAGCUCCAGCCUUGGUAGACGACCCGCGCACUCCUCUUGCAGCUAAUUCGGGAUCAUUAAUUUAAUCGGAAAUGAGGUAACCAGUGUAGGAGAUAGAGAAAGCAAACCAAGCAUCGAAUGGCAGUUCUCGUGAAUCCACGCUGAAGAACUUCCUCUGGACUCGAUUUUUAAGCGCGGUUGUCAACACCCCACCACCCGGCCCCCUCCGCGUGUACCACCGCCAGGUGUUAGCUUGCCGGGAAGGAAUCUUCUUUGGAGGGGUGCACCUUGCCAACAGGUGUGGCACCUGGAGGAAGAGAAGGCACAUCCAUGCUAAAGGGAGGUCGGUGCGGCGUCCUCCUUAAUGCAGAUAAUUCUGGAAGACCAGUAGGUGUCGGGGCAGCAUUUGACCUCCUUCAGGUGCUUAGAACCAAGCGUCUGCAAACGUGAUCCCUCCACUACUGCAUUUCCGAAGAGCCUGAUUUAUGCACAAAUCUGCAUCAUCAUUGCUGAGAGAACACUCUGUGAGGAAUGUGCUGGGGUCCUGAACGUGAAGGUUUUCUUCACAGCAGCAGAGGGAGCACAAGAGUGCUUAGUAAAACAAGCGCACGGGCCCUCCAAGUGGUUCACUUCACUUUAUAUGUGAUGGAAAUGCUCCUAGGAGCUGAAAUAGUUCCAGAGUUCAACAGUCUGGGAAAUCUGAAGGAGGGAAAAAAACAAAAAAAAACAAAUAAGCCCUGCAUUUCCAAAGAUGUGAAGAGAGGACUCUGCUCUCUGAGGAUGGAAGGAAGUAAGAAGACCCUAUUUGUGGCUGCAGGAGAGGAAAAGAAAAAAGCCCACAAGGAAACUACCAGCAGAUGUUGUGGCAUAUGGGACGACGCCCCAGCGUGGCUUGAUGAGCAGUGCCAUGUCCGCGCCCAGGAUUCGAACCAACGAAACACUGGGCCACCUGCAGCGAAGCGCGCGAACUUAACCACUCGGCCACGAGUCGUGACAGAAGAAAUGCAGCAGGACAAAGGGGUUGGAAGGAUGUGAAAAAGAAAAGGAAAGGAAAAGAUGGUCAAACAUGCGUCUUCUGGCUGGAGGCCUGCUGUGACUGGACCAGAUCACCUGGAACCGUGCCUGAUUCAGACUUUUGUCACCAGGACUUCUUCCAGAACUGUGUUCUGCUGGCAGAGAGGACUCACUCAGAUAUCCAAAUAGCCUGGCCCAAUCUGAGCUCGUCAGGCCCUUUGACCACCACGUACUGGCCUGCCGAGCUGCCUCCUGGGGAUGGGCCAGCUUCUGAAGACACGCUCUGUCUCCUCUGUCCAACUAGAUCUUGGCUUCUUCCCCCUUCCCUUGGCUGUGCUGAUAUGGUCCCAGCCUGCCCUGCACCCAAAUGUCUCCUACAAAAGAGGAGGAGGCCAGUAGAGAUCAAGAGAAGCAGGCCUCAGGCCC